AAGAUCGGCAAGUGCCCCUUUAUUUGUCUCCUAAGCAGUCCCAACAAUGUAUUAACAAGAUCGGCAAGUCCCAACAAUGUAUUAACUAGAUCGGCAACGCGCCUUGGCGCGAGGCGCGAGGGUGCCGGUCCUAACCUUUUGUCAAGCAGGUAAUGCUAAACCAGUAAGAAGCACGCCCUGAAGUAUGUAAUCAAUGCACGGUUCAACACCAAAAACAAUGCAAAUCUUUGACCUCAUGAAUUUUCCAAUCAAAGUACAUGUCACAGAUUACAAUUUAGGCACAUCAAGCUCGGCACAAAGGAAUAGGCCAGGUAAUGUUUAAUAGAUCAGGAUUAAGUAGCACAUAGGGCAGCAAGACAGUACAAAUUAUUGAAAGUGAAGCAUUUACACAGGAGGCUAUUGACAAUCAGAUAGCAGUCCUUCGCCAAGGACGGUUGAAGUUCCUCAUCGCUCAAAGAAAAGGUCGCUCAAAGAAAAACUGAGUAGCAUUGGCCUGAAAGUGAAGAAAAAACCAUAUUCCUGGAGAAGAUAUCUCAACAUUUUUACAACAAUAGAUAUCUACAGUGACCAAAAAGGAACUAUCAAGAAGGCAAGAUUAGUAAACUGACAUCAAGCAACUCAUGUAUGUUUCCUUUAAAUUUGUUUGGGGAGUGGUAGAAAAUGCAGCCGAAACUACCAAGAGAAUCGAGAUGGUUUAGUACGACAUAACACAAGCAGGACAUAGUAGUAGUUUGAGCCAAUCUAAGAGCACUAUUUUAAUAUGGCAUAGCAAUAUAAACUUCAUCGAAACAUCUUGCCAUCUAGAUAACUGGUCAUCAGGGCUGAAGCAAAUGAUUCUCGACGUCAAUCGACCAUGUAGAGUCGUGCAUGAAGAAGGCAUUGUCAUUUAUCAGUAAGAGGUUAGUCAGCAAAUAUGCCACCUAAAGACGUACAUCAUGAAGAAAACGGGUCGAUAUUAGGUGCACGUAAAAUGUGUCAAAUAGAUAUAAGAACAAACGACUCUACAUGUUGAAGUAUAACUGGGGCAGCUGGGUUAAAAACAUGACGACAACUGCGACCAACUCAAUCAGGAAACUAAUACCUAUAAAGGGAAAUGAAGGCAUGUCUCAAGAGAUAUAAGGAACAAAGUUUGUUAUCUAUAUUGAAUGAAAAAGAUCAAUGUAAACUCGCCAUGAAAUGAAUCCAAAUAUAUGGGGCUCCAUGGGCAAACAACACCUUUGUUGCUUCAUGCUGAACUACUUUAUGUAAGAGAAAAUUUUAAGCUUUAGUGGCCAGCAAGCAGGCAGGUGAAGUGUCAUAUUAGUAAAUGUGCAAAAGGUUAUCUAUUGAAUACCAUGUGAAUGGAACAUGUCUGCCUUGCAUACAAUUUGGAGACUAAAGAGGCAAACAACCCAAAUAGGCACAUUACUUAUAAUUAGGACAAUAAAUUUGCGUGCUUUGGCCGUCACUGAUUCCAUACAUAUAACUCAAAAAAGGAAUAAUGCCACAGUUUGGGUUACGGAUUCUUGAAAAUCAGCUUCGGCUUGGAUUCUAAGAAUCAGCUGCAGCUGCAGAUUCCGAAAAUCUGACGUUGUGGGUAUCGCCGCCCGAGCUUGGGGCGUGGUGCGAUGCAGGUCAGGCAUGGUGCAGCUGGUCCUUGGGGGAGAGCGGACGGAGCUGUGGAUGGCGCAAACAGAGGAUAGUGACUCGAAGAGCGGACGCAGCCGACGGAGCUUGCCAUUAGCUUGGGCGUGGCCGGAGGUCAGGGAGGAGCAAAGGCGCUCAGAUCCAUUCGCUUGGUAGUGGCCGGAGGUUGGGGAUGGGUAGAGGCCUUGUUUGGUUCAGCUUUUAUCGAUGGAUUCCGCUGCCGUGCAGUAGAAUCUGAACCAAAGGGCGAACCCAGCAGAAUCCGAUUUAAGAAAUCCGCUGCCAAAAUCUGAACCAAAAGCGGAAGCAGCCCGGGACGUGCUUUUCAAAAUCUAAUUCCGCUGCGGGCCAAAAUCUAAAAAAGUUGUAUCAGCUGGUUUGCCAAAUGACCUACAUCUUCUUCACAUCAGAUUUUCCACAGCUGUUUUUCCAAAGCAGAUUUUUCACAACUGCUUUUAGAAAUCAACAGCCGAACCAAACAGGGCCAGAGAGGUUGGACGAACUUCGGGCAGGUACGGAUGCGGCAGACCCAUCCGCUUAGGAACCGCCGGGGCCGACGCUCAUGGAGCCGCCGGAACCUGACCACCACGAGUGUCAUUGAGGGAAAGGCCAACGCAGAGGAUGGGGGCGGGGCGCGCGCGCGGAGCUUGCGGUACUCCCUCACGCCGCCGCCGCCGUGCUCCACCCGAUCCUCCAGCUGCAAUAGGCGCGCCUCCCCGUUGAUGUUAUUGCCGUCGCGGUCGCUAUGGGGACGAGGGGAUUUGGGUGUCGUUGACCUGGGCUGCGGGUGGAUACUGGAUGAGGCUGCGGUGGCAGUUUUGUUGUAGUUUCGAGCGAAAAUAGGGGCAAGGGCACAAAACGAAUCGUUUUGAAUCUGCUGAAUCGCCAAAAUCGCUGCUUCCGGAUUCCUUGCGCUGGUAGUUCAUUUUUGGAAUCGGAUUCUAGGAAGCAACACAGGAAUCCGGCGUGUUUAGAAGCCUAGAAUCUGAGAAUCAGAAGCUGUAGCCCAAACAAAGGCCAACUUAGUAGGAAAGGUGAGCAGGGAAGCAUUCUAGUCAGGUAACCGGUGGUCUGACUGAACAAUUUUACGAAGUGAGGAACUGAGGAACCGAUCCUUUGGUUCGGAACCCUCUCUUACUAUUUUCGUCAAGGCACAUAGAGAACUAAAAUGCAGCUAUUAUUAAAUUCCCCACCAGCCACAAUGGCAACUACAGUUGGCCGCCUAUAUGAACCAGUUAAUAGUCACUAAAAUAUCAUGUAUCCACAACAAACCAAGAAAGAGAUACCUCCAAAUGGAGGAGGCAAUGUCAACAAGACAGUUCAAAGGAAAUAACACAUCAAUACUACUAAGAAAACGAAGAUUGGUAACUGCAAUGCAUCUAUUGCAGUAGUACAUUGAGCACCUGAGACAGUAACCGAAUCCGAAGGAGCAGUAGCCACGCACCCAGCAACGACCCUGGCACCAAACUCUAACCUGGCAGUACUAUAAAACACAUUGACACUCAAUUCACAGCACAUAAAUAAUUAAUGCAUAGUCAUAAGUCAAAGAUAUAUUUCACAAUGUUACCAAAGCCAUUUUCAGAAGCAAAUACCAGCACUUUAAAUAUACUGGAACUAAAAUAAACCAAAACUAAAAAAACUACUAACUAAUGUGGUCGAAAAACACCAGAUACUGAUCAAUGAUAUGUACCCACCUUAUUUUACUAAAUCUUCCACUACCAAAUGUGAUGUUAAAUAUCAAUUGAUAAUUACUCAUUUGUAUCUGCAAAGAAGUAUCAUGCUAAAAAUGAAAUACCAGAUCAGUUAGAGAACACAAUUAUGCAAAAUACUAAUAAGAAAUCUGUAAAUAUUGUAAUCAGUAUAUUUUUAAAAUAAAGCAAAUGCGCCCAUCUUAUCUUUCUUAUGUAGGUCAUGCCAGUUUUAAGCGAACUCUUAACUUCAUUCACAAAUUAUCUUAUACACGAAAAGAAAGAUUGCAUCCACAUAUCUAAAUUAAGCUCAAUGCUUUCGACAGAUGGAUUCUUCUUAUGUAACAGUACAACCCAACCACUGAGGAUCCAAUGCACAACAAGGCAGAACGGAAAAAUCAAGGAAAUUGUACAACAAACAUUAACAGGGGCCAACAAUAUAACAACAGGGGGGAAAGCACUACAACCUGACCAUUAGUACUAUCGAUGGCAAUGACCAUGGCCUCAAGGACAUGAAUAGAAUCAAACAUCGAGCGAAAUAGAAAAUCCCCGAAGCAAGAAGAUUAAUAUUGACUCGCACAUCUUACUGCCGCCUUUCUCGUGCUUCAUGCCUAGCAACAAUUCCUAGCAGUUAUUUUCCAGAAACCAUCUUGUUAUUAUAGAAAACCCCAAAGACUGCAAAAGUACAAGCAGAACACAAGAAUGUGAAUGAAGUUACAAAAUUUAUAUACAUUCAUGCCAUUUAACUAAGAAAACAUGAUCAAUCAUACCAGAAGGAGCCAAUUAAAGUCAAUAUAAAGUACAAAAGACUGUCAUUAUUUAAGAUGAAUAUGCUUAAAGCCUCUCUCUGAUUUAGCCAAAGCAGGAGAACAUCUAAUAUAACAAAAAUAGCAGGGUGAGGUGUUUUUAUAAUCAUCACGUAGAACUAAAAAGUAUCACUUCCAUACAACCCAGAAUAUAAAAUUAGAUGGAAAAAACAUGCAUGGACUCAACUCUUCAGUAAAAUAAUAGAUGUCUAUUCAAAGCUAUAUGUACUGCUAGCAAAACAUUAUGUUAAAUAAUAGGAAAAAGGAGAUGCCAUAUCAAUGGAUAGAUAUAUGUCUAAGAAUUUUGGCUUAGAGGCCGAUGAUGCAGUGUAUGGAGGCAGUGUUCAUAGGCCUAGAGGCAGCCUUAGAGGCGCCAAAUACUCAUAUUGUAGAUGCCCUUACUACACAGAGCCUAACUAAGAAUGCAAUAACCAGUCCUAGGCUAGUGCCUUUUCCUAUACAUCUUAAAAACUACAGCCACGUCUCCCAUAAUUUAUGGGAUGAUGCAAAUCUGCCACUUGGCCAUCGUUUACACAUUCUUAAAUCCGAGACAUACUUUAAGUCUACAAGAUCCCCAAGUCAGAACAGGGAAACAAAUAUAUGUCCACAGUAGCCAACAAGCGUCGGUGCAUUUCCUAUAUGUUUCCCUCCAUUCCAACUGUAAAUGGUCAAAUCUGGCAUCAUAAUUCAAAACAAUUGAAAGCUAGCUAGCUAUUGCUUUCAAACUUAAUAAAGUAGCUUAAAAACCACAUUGACCUAUGGUGUAAUUAAAUGCGGCUAUCAAUCUUCACAUGUAUGAUGGUGGUUAACUAUGCAGUAUGCAGUAUGGACAAAAAAUUAACCAGCGCACCCUGAGUGCAAAGAAGGAAUCAUCAAGGCGAAAGUAACAAGGGGCAAGGACGAG
RNAcentral lists this ribosomal RNA (5024 nucleotides) under Triticum aestivum (bread wheat). RNAcentral's name for it is "partial small subunit ribosomal RNA". Lineage: Eukaryota; Viridiplantae; Streptophyta; Magnoliopsida; Poales; Poaceae. The record is from RNAcentral.